This is a long non-coding RNA of Quercus lobata, 264 nucleotides long. RefSeq lists it as uncharacterized. The transcript has 2 exons. The record is from RefSeq and is a predicted model, not a curated record. NCBI's taxonomy places the organism in Eukaryota, Viridiplantae, Streptophyta, Magnoliopsida, Fagales, Fagaceae.
UCAGAAACUCUCUCUGGCUCUCUCUCUCUUCUAGCCGAACAUGCCUCAGAGUCUCUCUCUCUCAUGCCUCAAAAAAAAGCCACCAGUGAUACUCCGGUUACCUCUCCACCGAAGAAAGAAUGUGAACCAACAGUGUUUCAGCUACCCACCCAAAUGUGAUUAGAUCUGCCAAAUACCAACAGAAGUAACCACAAGCAUGAAGCCAGAAGAAACCAACACAGCCAGCAAUAAUCAAAGCAAAGAGAACCAAAAAAAAAAAAAAAA